Long non-coding RNA from Solanum lycopersicum (tomato), 923 nucleotides. RefSeq lists it as uncharacterized. The record is from RefSeq and is a predicted model, not a curated record. Lineage: Eukaryota; Viridiplantae; Streptophyta; Magnoliopsida; Solanales; Solanaceae.
UUCUUCUUGUUCAUCAUUAUCAAUUGUUUUUCACUUUCUAAUAUUUAGCUUCCAAUUUCCGUUUCAUUUUCUCGUUGACUAACAACCCCACCACCCCUCUGCACCAAGCUAGGGUUUAUUCAAUUUUUUUUUCUCAAACUAUAGAGAAAAACCUUCAAAAAUAGAACUUUUAUACUGAUUUAAGGAAGAAGAAGAGGUUUCUUGAUCAGUUGACAUGGGUAAUGACAGCUUUGUCCAGCUAAUCAAGGCAGGGGGAAGGAGGAAGGGACAACGUAGAGUGGGAAGGCGAGAGAAGGGAGGCCUGGCUGGAUAUAAUAUUUAAUAGCAAGUUUGGUGUGGAAGUGUGUUUUGUCAUCUUGUUUGCUAUUUGAGUCAUUGCCAGAAGUUUGACAAACAAUGUUAAAUGGCAAACCUAAUUUGGAAGUUGUUCUAUUGAAUCUGAAGUUUCUCGGUCCUGGUAAAUAUUUCCUCCAUAAUCUGAAAAUUUUGAGCUUCUUAGUCAGUUCCAUGAAGAAUCCCCUGUCAAUUGUCAAGGGAGAGGAGAAAUAGAUCCACUUUUAGAAUCUCCCAACUCCUAAUAUUAUAUGAGGCAAAGGUUAAAGGUCAAAGGGUGACAAGACGACGAAAUGAGAACAUAGACAUGGUCAGGUAGCCUUGGUACCUCAAAGCAUAUGGCUCGACUUCAGUGCUGCAGUAAGCUGGGUCUUAUUAAUAGGUGAUAUUCUUUAGUGUUCAGUUUCAUUAGAACAUAGAGAACUAUUUACACGGUAUUAGACUAGCCUUCUUUUUUUUUAUAGCAGAACAUUAGGUUUCUUGUUUUGGUUCACUUUGGCAAUGAUUUUUCAUGUUUCCAUCUUAUUAUCAGUUCCUAAACACUCAAAUUCUUGUAUUAUCAUUGAGUACGUAUCUGUGUUGUACCGGUA